Solenopsis invicta (red fire ant) is the source of this 1583-nucleotide long non-coding RNA. RefSeq lists it as uncharacterized. The transcript has 3 exons. The record is from RefSeq and is a predicted model, not a curated record. Lineage: Eukaryota; Metazoa; Arthropoda; Insecta; Hymenoptera; Formicidae.
UUAUCACCCUCUUCGCUUGACAAAUUAGACGAAAAUGCAAAUACUACAAUUGGUAGAGAUUAAACUAUGGUUUAACUCAUAGUGGCAUUAAUAAUGCACGGCGGUGUAAAACUCACGUAACGUAUGGUAUUCAAGAUAUUAACAUUCCAUAACUCCCUUCUCUCUGCAACUGUUCCCGCAGCCUCUUCUUGCGGAUCACUCGUAUGUUUCCUGAUUCGACCUCUGGAUGGCUCCGCAGCGUCAAUGAGUAACGACUGAUCUUCCUGACGAGUUCUAAUCAUUGGAAUUUGAGUGACUUCUUCCUCGCGUUUGCCUUCAUGAGAAUCGCUCGAAUUCGUCUCGUCGUCCAAGUCGUCGAAGUAAAGAUACGUGUAGCUGUUAAAAAUCAGUAUUGGAAGUGUGAUUGAAUGGAUUCAAGACGCUUUAGAAAAAUGAAUUUUUCAAAGUACAUAUAAUUAAUGAAAAAAAACGAUAGAUUUAGAUAUAAACAAUUUAUAUAAGGACGUAUUUAGAGUUAAGCACAAUUGUUUUAUACCUGCGAGGAUUAUUCGUGGCACUUUGGUAACCAUAGUAAAUUGAACGAGAAUGAGCUGCGGGGUCCAACAAGUGUUGUUCUUCUCCGUUGAAUUUUGUGCGAGAACUUGAAUAAAUUUGUUUCUCAGUGGUCGCUACAUGAUUCAACUGUUUCUUCAAAGCUAGUGCUCGAGUGUAUAUUAGAGGUGGCAAAAUAAAGACCAAUGACCCAGUUAAUGAUCCACCAAUUAGAGCCAUGACGAUGUCGAAUCGCGAUAUCGAUUCACCCACUACCACACUGAGGAAAACCACCGCCGAUCUCAUAGCGCAACGUUUCCAUCCGAAAGCUGUGAUUCAACAAUGUUGAAAGAGUGCUGAGUAGCCGAUCACGCUGGAGAAGCAGAGCUGAAGAGCGGCUAGCAGAAUGGCGAUAUUCGCAACCGAUCCGGAUGGUACAGCUUCAAGGAUAUUAGCAGUCGUAUUGCCACCGUACUUCCAUACGACUAGGCAAGCGGUAACGGUGAAUAAUGAUCCGCUUGCUAAAAUGAAACAAAUUAAAUUGACAGUUAAAAUAAAUUUAGUUAAGAAAUUGAAUCAAAUUUAAUUAAGGAGUAAAAUACAAAACAUAAUUUAUUUUCGCUGUUUCUUACUCAUGAAUGAGAAGAAGAUGGCUUUAUCGAUAUCUCGAGGACGAUGCAUAUCAACCUGUAUCGUCAUUAAAGUAGGAUGCACGUCGAAUUGAAACGCCAGCAUACCGUAUCUGAUAAUUCAUUCUAUAUUUAGUUACUUAGUUAAUUGAUAUUUAUGAUAUUGAUAAUUAAUGAAUCUGAUUAUGAAUUUGAUUUGUCAAAUUUAUACUUAAAUAAUAUAAAUAAUACUUAAAAAAUGCUUAAAAAGUAAUUAUUAAUUAAUUUGAUUUGAUAAAUUUACAACACGCAAUUUUCACAUAUCUAAUAAAUAUCACAUGACUUUACGUGACUAUAACUAUGCUUGUGAAAAAACGCUCAUGCGUAUUUGUGUGACAUAGGAUUUGUUCAUACCCAGAAAUAAAUUUAUCCCACAUUGGUGAA